This 244-nucleotide ribosomal RNA is filed under the name uncultured bacterium. RNAcentral's name for it is "partial small subunit ribosomal RNA". It matches the Rfam family "Bacterial small subunit ribosomal RNA", at positions 26 to 285 of the family's 1533-position model. The record is from RNAcentral.
AGAAUCAACGCUGGCGGCGUGCCUAACACAUGCAAGUCGCACGAGAAAGUGGAGCAAUCCAUAAGUAAAGUGGCGCACGGGUGAGUAACACGUGAAUUAUCUACCUCCGAGUGGGGAAUAACUGAGAGAAAUCUUAGCUAAUACCGCAUAACACUUACGAGUCAAAGCAGCAAUGCGCUUGGAGAGGAGUUCGCGGCCGAUUAGUUAGUUGGCGGGGUAAUGGCCCACAAGACGAUGAUCGGUA